AGCGAACGCUGGCGGCAGGCUUAACACAUGCAAGUCGAACGGGCACUUCGGUGCUAGUGGCAGACGGGUGAGUAACACGUGGGAACGUACCUUUCGGUUCGGAAUAAUCCAGGGAAACUUGGACUAAUACCGGAUACGCCCUUCGGGGGAAAGAUUCAUCGCCGAUAGAUCGGCCCGCGUCUGAUUAGCUAGUUGGUGAGGUAAUGGCUCACCAAGGCGACGAUCAGUAGCUGGUCUGAGAGGAUGAUCAGCCACAUUGGGACUGAGACGCGGCCCAAACUCCUACGGGAGGCAGCAGUGGGGAAUAUUGGACAAUGGGCGCAAGCCUGAUCCAGCCAUGCCGCGUGAGUGAUGAAGGCCUUAGGGUUGUAAAGCUCUUUUGUCCGGGAAGAUAAUGACUGUACCGGAAGAAUAAGCCCCGGCUAACUUCGUG
Molecule: ribosomal RNA, 433 nt
Filed under: uncultured bacterium
Lineage: Bacteria
Description: partial 16S ribosomal RNA
Rfam family: Bacterial small subunit ribosomal RNA
Source: RNAcentral